AGGGGCGUAGCUCAAUUUGGUAGAGCGCCGGUCUCCAAAACCGGUGGUUGUCGGUUCGAGUCCGGCCGCCCCUGCCA
This 77-nucleotide transfer RNA is filed under the name Pseudomonadota bacterium. RNAcentral describes it as "tRNA-Trp". It matches the Rfam family "tRNA". Rfam says of the family: Transfer RNA (tRNA) molecules are approximately 80 nucleotides in length. Their secondary structure includes four short double-helical elements and three loops (D, anti-codon, and T loops). The record is from RNAcentral. Lineage: Bacteria; Pseudomonadati; Pseudomonadota. RNAcentral also lists the same sequence under 1 other name.